RNAcentral lists this ribosomal RNA (351 nucleotides) under uncultured bacterium. Its description in RNAcentral is "bacterial SSU rRNA". It matches the Rfam family "Bacterial small subunit ribosomal RNA", at positions 917 to 1269 of the family's 1533-position model. The record is from RNAcentral.
GGGCCCGCACAAGCGGUGGAGUAUGUGGUUUAAUUCGAUGCAACGCGAAGAACCUUACCAGGGUUUGACAUCCUGCGAAUCUCUUGGAAACGAGAGAGUGCCUUCGGGAGCGCAGUGACAGGUGGUGCAUGGCUGUCGUCAGCUCGUGUCGUGAGAUGUUGGGUUAAGUCCCGCAACGAGCGCAACCCACGUCUUUAGUUGCCAGCAUUUAGUUGGGCACUCUAGAGAGACCGCCGGUGAUAAACCGGAGGAAGGUGUGGAUGACGUCAAGUCAUCAUGCCCCUUACAUCCUGGGCUACACACGUGCUACAAUGGCCGGUACAGAGGGCAGCCACACCGCAAGGUGGAGCG